AGUCAGAGACAGACAGACAUCAUACGCUUUCACUCUGGUAGUCGUUUCAACGGUAAGAUGUUCAAUGUUUGUUUAUAUCCUUUAAAGAUGUGCCAUUUGGAUCCUCCGUGGUUUUGCCCUGAAAUUAUUAUAAGCUACAUUUACCUGCGCUAACACAGGCCAAACCAUUUCCCAGUUUGUCAACGUGUUUUUAGUUUAAUUUUGUUAUUUAUGCUGGUGUUGAAAUUGGUGGAGUAAGUUUCUAAAUGUAUUCUGGCUGUAAAUUUUGUUUUUUAAUUUUAAAAUCCAUUUUAGUUUCUCAAUAUGCCAGUCUCUGUUUCUGUUACACCAGGGCUGGAGGCAUCGUUCCCUCCCUCCCCCCACCCAUAUCUAUUUAUUUUUAGCUUUUCCACAUGUCACUCUGUAAUCCACCUAGAGUUUAUUUUGGUAUGUGGUCUAAGCUUUGCAUCUAAAUGUUUUUAUUCCAACAAGACCUAUUAAAAGACUAUUUAUUUUAUUUUUCCUUCCCCAAUGAACGUCUGAAAUCUGUCUUGUGGAAUGAGUGGCUGCCCUCUUCUCCGCCAAGCACCUGGACAUACUGAAGUUUAUCCACCUGCACCCUUGAAUCCUGGUGCCUGAGAGAGGGCUCCUCAUCCCAGGUCACACCUCAGACUUGAUCGGAUGGCGGUUAUGAAGGCAAGGACACAUGGAAGAAUGCCACUUUCCUCGACAGAUGAGACAGGUCCAAGAAGACAAUUUUUUCUUUAAGUGGGGUCCUUUUUUUUCCGAACAAGGCUUGCAUCCAUAGUAAUUUUAUGCUACAAUGUGAAUAAUGGAUCUGGAAAACCUUUCUUUCCAGGACCGACGUAUAUAUAUGAGACAUUUUUUUCCCCCUGCUAUUCAAUAAUGAUUAUUUUGAUUACACAGAGAAGUUCUUAGGUAAGUGGAAUAAUAUAAAAUCAAUGUGAAAAAAAGGUAAAAAUGUGUUUUUUGGGGGUAUUAGACGAUGGUGAAACAGGUAAUUUGUGUGUGUGUGUGUGUGUGUGUGUGUUGAAUAACGCAGAGUAAAGUUAUCCUAAUUCCAUUCAUCAAUUAAUUUAAUUUUGAUUCCACGUUAACCUCCUUUACUCAGUUCCUCUCCCCACCCCCACCCCCCCAAAUCCCUGUAAGGAAGCCCUGUGAAUGCCCCAGACAUGAGGCUAUGAGAGCUUGGCUGAGCUCCUGCGUCUGGGGAUUACCUUCCAGAUUUAUUUGCGGGGUGUCUGUGCCGGGCAAGUCUUAGCUUUCGCAAAAGACUAAUUACUCCUUGUACCUUUUAACAUUAAAAUGCAUCUGAGACCUUGCCUCCAUUUAACACAACUCUGAGACAUACCUUAUUCAGCAGAAGCAACGGGGGCCCCUGUCGCCAAGGCUUAGCAGAUAAGAAGAUUAGGACAACGGAUUUUAACUUUCAUUUCUUUGAUGCAAAAGGGCUUCUAAGGGCCAUGCUGACGACUCAUAUGGGCCGACACAGGGGAUGGGAGAGAGGACAGGAGUGGAGCUGCCUGGUGUACAGAAGGCCUCCAAGUUACGUUAAUCACUGAAGAGCUCUGAGCUGUUGUAGAGCCUUCUGGAGGCAAAAGGAACCGUUCGCGGCCAUGGUCCUGGGGGAACUGAAGGCCAGGUUUGGGGAGAUGCUUUUCUGAAGAAGCAACACUGUGUUCACCUGUUCUCACCCACCUCCUCCCCUGCAAGGAUCCAGCACAACCCCGGGGCAAGGGCUAAGACAACAGAGGUUGCAGAUUGGGAGUGUGGAGAAUUCGCUCUUUGUGCAUGCGUGCUAUUGGCCAGUGUCCCCAGCUCCUGUCCGGCUGUGCCCUCACUCCCUGACACCACCAGGUGCACCGUCAGUGAGGCCCCACGCACAAGGGACAUGUGGGUCUCUGUUCAGAAAGCAGAACUUGCUGUGAAAGGUGAUAAUAAAAUGCAAAGCUCUUC
This is a long non-coding RNA of Felis catus (domestic cat), 1956 nucleotides long. RefSeq lists it as uncharacterized. NCBI's taxonomy places the organism in Eukaryota, Metazoa, Chordata, Mammalia, Carnivora, Felidae. The transcript is spliced from 3 exons. The record is from RefSeq and is a predicted model, not a curated record.